GACAGGGGGCCAUGUCCAGCCCCCAGCCCCACCACACACCUCUAGACGGAACUCAUUGGAAGGUGCUGACCUCACAGUGGGACUGUGAGGCAGAGAGUGUGGGGGCAGGGCCUCAGAGCACUCACUCAGACUGACUUGAACUUCAUUCAUACUUGGAUGGAGCAGGUCAGUAUUUCCUGACUGAGAACAGCUGUUCUGGGACAGGGACAUAGGAGCCCAUGCUGUGUCCCACCAGGUUCUGUUGUGUAAGAGAAAGUACCUGGAGGCUCCUCCCGCAGCACACCCUGCUGCAGCCACACUGACAUGCGUCUUCGCAGCAGCGCCACAGGCAUCUUCACCACCUUGCUCAGCUCUUCCAAGGUCCAGCUGGCUGUGUGCAGAGCCACGGGAUGCAAGUACACCAGAGGUUAUGCCUGCUUCAAUACCUGUUAGCCAGCUGGACCCCCAGAUGCACGUGCAUUGUCCUGUGUAACUCAUAGGAAACAGACCAGGGAGGCAAUUCUCACCUUGUGAAACUCACGCAAGAAAGAGCGCUCAUACUCUCCUCGGCAGCGGUCUUCCAUCCUUUCCCGGGUCACCUGAUGCAGCGUGGUUGUCACGGCCUCAGCGCAAACCCGCUCCAACAGACUGAGCCUAUGCCUGGAGGAGAUCCCCACUCAUGGAGAAACCACAAUACACAUCUGUUCCUUACCUAGGACUCUUCCCAUAAAGAUACUGUACACAAACCCUA
Molecule: long non-coding RNA, 730 nt
Organism: Mastomys coucha (southern multimammate mouse)
Lineage: Eukaryota; Metazoa; Chordata; Mammalia; Rodentia; Muridae
Exons: 4
Source: RefSeq, a predicted model, not a curated record